RNAcentral lists this unclassified non-coding RNA (344 nucleotides) under soil metagenome. Its description in RNAcentral is "partial contains 5.8S ribosomal RNA, internal transcribed spacer 2, and large subunit ribosomal RNA". The stretch from base 5 to 121 matches the Rfam family "5.8S ribosomal RNA", at positions 38 to 154 of the family's 154-position model. The record is from RNAcentral.
GAUGGAAGAACGUAGCGAAAUGCGAUAAGUAAUGUGAAUUGCAGAAUUCAGUGAAUCAUCGAAUCUUUGAACGCACAUUGCGCCCGCCAGUAUUCUGGCGGGCAUGCCUGUUCGAGCGUCAUUUCAACCCUCAGGCCCCGCCUGGCGUUGGGGAUCGGCGCGGCCCUCUCCGGGCUGCCGGCCCCGAAAACUAGUGGCGGUCUCGCUGUAGUCCUCCUCUGCGCAGUAGCAACGCUCGCACUGGAACUCGGCGCGGCCACGCCGUAAAACACCCCACUUCUGAAAGUUGACCUCGGAUCAGGUAGGAAUACCCGCUGAACUUAAGCAUAUCAAUAAGCGGAGGA